This 477-nucleotide ribosomal RNA is filed under the name uncultured organism. RNAcentral's name for it is "partial 16S ribosomal RNA". It matches the Rfam family "Bacterial small subunit ribosomal RNA", at positions 331 to 799 of the family's 1533-position model. The record is from RNAcentral.
GUACACUCCUGCGGGAGGCAGCAGUGGGGAAUAUUGCACAAUGGGCGCAAGCCUGAUGCAGCCAUGCCGCGUGUAUGAAGAAGGCCUUCGGGUUGUAAAGUACUUUCAGCGGGGAGGAAGGCGAUAAGGUUAAUAACCUUGUUGAUUGACGUUACCCGCAGAAGAAGCACCGGCUAACUCCGUGCCAGCAGCCGCGGUAAUACGGAGGGUGCAAGCGUUAAUCGGAAUUACUGGGCGUAAAGCGCACGCAGGCGGUCUGUCAAGUCGGAUGUGAAAUCCCCGGGCUCAACCUGGGAACUGCAUUCGAAACUGGCAGGCUAGAGUCUUGUAGAGGGGGGUAGAAUUCCAGGUGUAGCGGUGAAAUGCGUAGAGAUCUGGAGGAAUACCGGUGGCGAAGGCGGCCCCCUGGACAAAGACUGACGCUCAGGUGCGAAAGCGUGGGGAGCAAACAGGAUUAGAUACCCUAGUAGUCCCAUG